RNAcentral lists this long non-coding RNA (3018 nucleotides) under Diabrotica virgifera virgifera (western corn rootworm). Its description in RNAcentral is "uncharacterized LOC126890062". Lineage: Eukaryota; Metazoa; Arthropoda; Insecta; Coleoptera; Chrysomelidae. The record is from RNAcentral.
GUAAAGUCCACUUUACAUCAACAAUAAAUUGGACAAGAAAUUGACCAAGUUAUUCAAGGCCAAAUUUGACGUGUAAAAGCACACUUUGACAUCUAAGUUUGUUCGUUAUAAACUUCACGUGAAGAAAUUGACGAAAAAGAAAAUUGUUCUAUUUUUUCAUUUAUUUGGCGUGAAUUCAGUGUCACCAACCUGUGUCCAUUUGGCGGGAAGUGGAAGUAGAGCUUUUUGUUUAUUAUUAUUUGUUGAGGUUGAGUCUUUCAUGUUCAUGACAACCUAAAAAUUUUGAUUGGAAAAUGCAUAUAAGAUAAGGGGGUGGGAAAAUGGAAAUUAGUGGCUUUUUUGCAGUUCUGUCUGUUAGUUUUGCUCUGGCUGGGUCUCUUUUGUUUAAACAAUUAUAAUCAGCUGAAAGUGGUCUACAAAAAAACCAGGAAGGAAACGUAUUAUAGCCUUGUUGUGGCUAUGAAAGGCAAAAGAAAGAUACCUAUAAAAAGUGUAUUGACUAGUUGGAAGAAACUCCACAUUGUCGAUGCAUAAUAAGAUAUUACUUUAUAAACAAAUAUCAAGACCUAGGAAUGGAACCUGGAUAAUAUAGUCAUCAAGAAGAUAGCAGGAGGUCAUGAGCAACAACAACUUCAUAAGUAUGAGAAUAUUGAGGAAAUCCAGCUCCUCGAUAUCUACUACUGGACAAACUAGAAGAUUGAAGAGGACAAAGCCUUUUGAACUAGUUUGAGUGAUAGGUGAUAGUGAAAAGCAGAGCGUAGUGCUUGUGUGCCUGUGUAUGUUAGAAUAGUGCACGAUCUUGUUAGAUUAGAUAAGAGACGCUAUAGGGUAAGCUCUUCAUUUUAAGGAACAGUAGUAAUUUAGGUUAAAUUAAAAUUGCUCAUUGGUCAGUUAUGACCAGAUUGUAAUUCUCUGAUGUUUGGCAAAAAGAGCUGAAGUCAGAAUUGCACAUCAAUAAUGUUUUGAUGAUUUCUGGACCAUAAAAAAAGUGUUGCAGACUUAAACUGUAUGUACCAAUAAAAAGAGCCGAUUUUUCUGGUCCAGAAAUCAUCAAAACAUUUUCGAUGUGCAAUUCUGACUUAAGCCCUUUUUCCCAAACAUCAGAGAAUUGCGAUGUACAAUUCAAUACAAAUGAAUCAUCAUCGUAGUGAUGAUUAUGGAAAAAAAAAAUAUAUAUAUAUAUAUAGAAAUAUAUAUAUUUUGUGCAAUAAAAAUGUUUAUAUUUAUCAAGGAUGUAUUAUUUGGAAUGGCCACAUAUACUUCUGGUAUAUCGUCGGUGAUGUGACAAUACCUCCUAUCUGCUUUUUCAUGAAUUUUGUAGGAGACGAAAAACCAUUUUUAGGGUCAUCUGUUUUCACAUGUAAAUUUUGACAUGUUUUGUAGUAAAUAGAUAAUUGAAUUUACUACAAAACAUGUCAAAAAAUAUCAUAUGAAAACAGGAGGUGACUGUAAAAAAAGUUUUUAGUCUCUCUUACAAAAUGGUUAACAGUUAAUAGAGAGACAGAUAAUCGAGGUUCCACUGUAUAGUGAAAUUUGGACACCCGACACCCCAUACAAAUUUUAUGGGGGUUUUGUUCGUUUAAACCCCCCCCCCCCCAAACUUUUGUGUAAGUUACAAUUGAAUUAUUAUUGUGGUACUAUUAAACACAAUGUUUUUAAAACUUUUUUGCCUCUUAGUACUUUUUUGAAGUCAGUUUUUAUCGUGAUAUUUUGAAUAUUUGUCAAAUCCACCACAUAUUUGUAUAUGGUUAAGUACGAUUGUAGAGACUAAUAAUAUGAAAAUUUAUUUAUGAUUUACAUUUUUAGGUAUAUUUUGAACCAUUUUAAAAAGAAGCCAUAUCUUGAUAAAAAGAGCUUUAUCGAAAAAAUAGAAAGAGGUAAAACAGUUUUAAAAACACAGUGUUUAACUAAUGGUACCGCAGAAAUAAUUUAAUUGGAACGUACCCAAAAGUUUGGGGGGGUUAAAGGGAACAAAACCCCCAUAAAAUUUUUAUGGGGUGCACAAAUUUCACUAUAAUUUUUCUUUAAGAUGUUACUGCAAUAAUAUUGCUUCAUGUCCAUUUUCAAUAAAAAAUCUUUAAUAGUUUUCGAUAUAUUCGAAAAAAUCGAAUUUUCAUUUUGUAUCUUCAAAGGGCUGUAACUUUUUUUGUGUGCAUAUUUGUACUAAGGUAAGUUAGGUUCAUUCAAAUUAUUUUUGGUCCCAGAAUAUGUGAUUUAAUUUACGACCAAUCUUUUCGGGACACCCUGUAUAAUAAAUGGGAUUAGCUGGCUUAAAAAUUCAUAAUCUACGUUCUGUAGAAAAUAUACAGUUUUUGGUUUCUUUUUAACUAGAUCUUAAUAUCUAACCAAGCAUUUUAAGACCUUUUUAUUAUUUUUUCGAUGAUAUAUUCAUGUUUUUAGUUUGUUCAAAAUAUUCUAGAUGAUUGUACACUAUAAUAGAUAGCCAACUAAAUAAACACAAAAAUUUUAUUUUUGUUACAGCCUGUAUAUAAGUUUACCUAUAUAUACAGUGCAUUACGCACCACCUUAAAAAUUGGGCAUUUUUGAUGUCUCGAAUUUCCUAAACCUGUUGUCCCAUCUAAGUGAUUUUUUUAUAAUAAUAUAGCCUGAGGCUAUAGGUUACUGCCUUAUGCUUGUCAUGCACGGGGAGCUAUACUGUAAUAUAUAUUAUAUCACGUCGCUCUCUAUAGUAAUGAGUGAGCCUGCACAUACGGAACCAUUAGUUCCCUGUCUGCAGGCUCACUCAUUACUAUAGAGAGCGAUAUGAUAUAAUAUACAUAUAUUACAGUAUAGCUACCAGUGCAUGACAAGCUUAAGGAUGUAACCUAUAGCCUAGGCUAUAUUAUAAAAAAAUCACUCAGAUGAGACAACAGGUUUAGAAAAUUCGAGACAUCAAAAAUGCCCUAUUUUUAAGGUGGUGCGUUAAUUUCUUGGAGAAGUGUAUUGUAAUUUAAUGUAAAUAAUGUAAUAUCCAAUAAUUGUAAUUUAAUAUAAGAUGUAAUAUAAGUUCCUUAAAAA